This 253-nucleotide ribosomal RNA is filed under the name uncultured bacterium. RNAcentral describes it as "partial 16S ribosomal RNA". It matches the Rfam family "Bacterial small subunit ribosomal RNA", at positions 524 to 776 of the family's 1533-position model. The record is from RNAcentral.
GACAGAGGGUGCAAACGUUGCUCGGAAUUACUGGGCGUAAAGCGCGUGUAGGCGGCCCUGCAAGUCGGAUGUGAAAUCCCACGGCUCAACCGUGGAAGUGCAUUCGAAACUGCAGGGCUAGAGUCCUGGAGAGGAAGGUGGAAUGCUUGGUGUAGAGGUGAAAUUCGUAGAUAUCAAGCGGAACACCGGUGGCGAAGGCGGCCUUCUGGACAGUGACUGACGCUGAGACGCGAAAGCGUGGGGAGCAAACAGG